CAGUAGCCGCGGUAAUACGGAGGGGGCUAGCGUUGUUCGGAAUUACUGGGCGUAAAGCGCACGUAGGCGGCUUGGUAAGUUAGAGGUGAAAGCCCAGGGCUCAACCCUGGAAUUGCCUUUAAGACUGCCGAGCUAGUAGGUGAGGGAGGUGAGUGGAAUUCCGAGUGUAGAGGUGAAAUUCGCAGAUAUUCGGAAGAGCACCAGUGGCGAAGGCGGCUCACUGGCUCAUACUGGACGCUGAGGUGCGAAAGCGUGGGGAGCAAACAGGAUUAGAGACCCCAGUAGUCCCUGUCUCUUAUAC
Molecule: ribosomal RNA, 301 nt
Filed under: uncultured bacterium
Lineage: Bacteria
Description: partial 16S ribosomal RNA
Rfam family: Bacterial small subunit ribosomal RNA
Source: RNAcentral